AUUGAACGCUGGCGGCAGGCCUAACACAUGCAAGUCGGACGGUAGCACAGAGAGCUUGCUCUUGGGUGACGAGUGGCGGACGGGUGAGUAAUGUCUGGGGAUCUGCCCGAUAGAGGGGGAUAACCACUGGAAACGGUGGCUAAUACCGCAUAACGUCGCAAGACCAAAGAGGGGGACCUUCGGGCCUCUCACUAUCGGAUGAACCCAGAUGGGAUUAGCUAGUAGGCGGGGUAAUGGCCCACCUAGGCGACGAUCCCUAGCUGGUCUGAGAGGAUGACCAGCCACACUGGAACGGAGACACGGUCCAGACUCCUACGGGAGGCAGCAGUGGGGAAUAUUGCACAAUGGGCGCAAGCCUGAUGCAGCCAUGCCGCGUGUAUGAAGAAGGCCUUCGGGUUGUAAAGUACUUUCAGCGGGGAGGAAGGCGGUGAGGUUAAUAACCUCACCGAUUGACGUUACCCGCAGAAGAAGCACCGGCUAACUCCGUGCCAGCCGCCGCCGUAA
RNAcentral lists this ribosomal RNA (504 nucleotides) under uncultured bacterium. RNAcentral's name for it is "partial 16S ribosomal RNA". It matches the Rfam family "Bacterial small subunit ribosomal RNA", at positions 29 to 523 of the family's 1533-position model. The record is from RNAcentral.